GUUGUUUUCGAGGACAUUUCGAUAAGUAUUUUUCUACACGUAGAGAUUGCUUGUUUCGUUCUCGUAUUGCAAAAUAUCAGGCUUCCAACUCGCAUGGUAAUUGCAGCUGCCACCACGGUAAAAAAGUGUUACACAGUUCGGAGAGGCACAGGGAAGGUAAAGAGCUUCCUCCUGGAAUGACCUGAUACAUUACCCUACUCUUAGAAGACGCAUUGUCGUCGAAAGGAGCGCGCAUUAGCCGCGGAUAAUUAUUAUCGUCGUUUACUCGUGCGAAACAGUGCCGUCUCUGGCCGAGAAGCCGGUGGGAAAGGGGAGAAGGAGAACGAUACCUGGUGGAAUCCCACGAGGACUAACGACGCCCGGACGAUUCUCCGCGUCCCCGUUAAAACGGCUCCUCCGUGGACUUAUCGAAGCCGGUUUAUGAGGCGUCCGAAUCGAAUUUUUCCGCCGACGACGGCGCAUAAUCAUUAUAUCGGACGCGCCGGUUUAACCAGUCCCGAUACAAUCUUUCCCAUGCUAAAUAUAUCAGAGCACUGGCUAAAUCCGUAUCGCCCAUUCGAAUCACUAAAGACGCACAGAAGCUAUUCAGAUGUUCGUUUACGAUGAAGAUCAUUUUUAGAAAAUUUGCUGGAGUAUUCGCGAAUGUUAUAUCAUAUACAGUUAUCAUCAUGCAGUUCAUUUAAUUUUCUUUUGUAUUUUCGAAUUUGCGGCGGGUUUACAAACUUUAACAUUUACCAAAAAUUCUAAGAAUAAACCGUGUUUGCCAGUACGGAUACAAAAACCCAGCACACGAAAAGCAAAACAAAGCUGUAUCGUCGUUAGUUUAGCCAAAGUCAAGCUCGCGUAGUAAAUAUUUGUAACCGGUCGUCGCGGAUUUCCAGGAAUUAAUUCGCCUCGGUGCGCGGAAGGGUCACGAGCGAAUUCCAGAAAUUUCAUCCCCACUCCCACUCGCAAUCGUCGUGUCCUCGGUAACCGACCGAUGGUUUCCCUGAUUAAUUCAUCAAACGGUGUCGAGGGUGGCAGACGUCGAGUUCGUCCCUUCAGGAAGAGCCGCAAGCCCAUCUCGGAUACUCUAUGGCGAUUCCAGCUGACAAACCGGUGGGAAACUCGGGACACUGGACCAACGGUUCCACGUGACAUUAGGCAAUAAUUAACCAGCUUCGUCGAACAUCAAACGUAGCACUCUCCGUUUCCACCAGCGAAGAUUCCGUCAUCCGGUGCGAUGUCAACGGCCUGAGUUUCGUCACGUUUUGGGGAAUCGUGUCUGUUUGUCCUCGGCGUGUCCACAGAGGCUUCCACUCGAAGAGGAAAGACAACGAGGGGCCUGUGACAAUUGUUUCCUGGACCACUUCCCCGACAACUGGUGAAUCAAUGCCGGAUUCGGCUGGACGAGGAGGAACGAAGAUCUCGGGUGAGUUUCGGAGCUGAUUAGGAGGAAUCGGGGAAAGAUGGGAACAAUGCGCCUGCUUGAUCCCUUUUUCUAGGAAUUUAGUCCGGGACCUUGGCAGUGCUAAUAUGUAGAAACAUUUUGGGAAAAUGUAGCCCGUUAAAUAUCGUGUACGUACAUUUUUCUAAUAUCUUAAAGCAUUCCACUUCUAACGCUCUCAGCCCUUUCCACCGAGAAAGGUUCGCCUUAUCAGCGAUCAACUUUCUCCGUAAGACGCUUGCUCUGUAAAAGUUAAUGGACCGCCAGACUUUGUAUCUCGAGAUGCUUUCUUUAUCUUAACGUAGAAGAGACAAGCUUUUUCUAUUCUUAAAAUUAUCGCUUUAGUCGCAUUUAGCUUAGACGCAGCCACUCUUCUCUUCUUGUCUACUUGGAACGGAGGAUUACAUCGUGCAGAGGUGGGCUGUUUGAGGAAAAUACCUUUCCAGAUAACCAUUCACAAGAAUAUAAAUGCUUGUGGAGCAGAUAGGAAGAGAACUUAGUUCGUUCAGCGUGAAAUUUCAUUUGAUUGAUGUAAUUAAUACAGAUUUUAAUUGCGAUUGGACAAACA
Hylaeus anthracinus is the source of this 1994-nucleotide long non-coding RNA. RefSeq lists it as uncharacterized. NCBI's taxonomy places the organism in Eukaryota, Metazoa, Arthropoda, Insecta, Hymenoptera, Colletidae. The transcript has 2 exons. The record is from RefSeq and is a predicted model, not a curated record.